GGAUGAACGCUGGCGGCGUGCCUAAUACAUGCAAGUCGAACGAGUUCUCGUUGAUGAUCGGUGCUUGCACCGAGAUUCAACAUGGAACGAGUGGCGGACGGGUGAGUAACACGUGGGUAACCUGCCCUUAAGUGGGGGAUAACAUUUGGAAACAGAUGCUAAUACCGCAUAGAUCCAAGAACCGCAUGGUUCUUGGCUGAAAGAUGGCGUAAGCUAUCGCUUUUGGAUGGACCCGCGGCGUAUUAGCUAGUUGGUGAGGUAACGGCUCACCAAGGCGAUGAUACGUAGCCGAACUGAGAGGUUGAUCGGCCACAUUGGGACUGAGACACGGCCCAAACUCCUACGGGAGGCAGCAGUAGGGAAUCUUCCACAAUGGACGCAAGUCUGAUGGAGCAACGCCGCGUGAGUGAAGAAGGCUUUCGGGUCGUAAAACUCUGUUGUUGGGGAAGAAUGGUCGGCAGAGUAACUGUUGUCGGCGUGACGGUAUCCAACCAGAAAGCCACGGCUAACUACGUGCCAGCAGCCGCGGUAAUACGUAGGUGGCAAGCGUUAUCCGGAUUUAUUGGGCGUAAAGCGAGCGCAGGCGGUUUUUUAAGUCUGAUGUGAAAGCCCUCGGCUUAACCGAGGAAGCGCAUCGGAAACUGGGAAACUUGAGUGCAGAAGAGGACAGUGGAACUCCAUGUGUAGCGGUGAAAUGCGUAGAUAUAUGGAAGAACACCAGUGGCGAAGGCGGCUGUCUGGUCUGUAACUGACGCUGAGGCUCGAAAGCAUGGGUAGCGAACAGGAUUAGAUACCCUGGUAGUCCAUGCCGUAAACGAUGAAUGCUAGGUGUUGGAGGGUUUCCGCCCUUCAGUGCCGCAGCUAACGCAUUAAGCAUUCCGCCUGGGGAGUACGACCGCAAGGUUGAAACUCAAAGGAAUUGACGGGGGCCCGCACAAGCGGUGGAGCAUGUGGUUUAAUUCGAAGCAACGCGAAGAACCUUACCAGGUCUUGACAUCUUUUGAUCACCUGAGAGAUCAGGUUUCCCCUUCGGGGGCAAAAUGACAGGUGGUGCAUGGUUGUCGUCAGCUCGUGUCGUGAGAUGUUGGGUUAAGUCCCGCAACGAGCGCAACCCUUAUGACUAGUUGCCAGCAUUUAGUUGGGCACUCUAGUAAGACUGCCGGUGACAAACCGGAGGAAGGUGGGGAUGACGUCAAAUCAUCAUGCCCCUUAUGACCUGGGCUACACACGUGCUACAAUGGAUGGUACAACGAGUUGCGAGACCGCGAGGUCAAGCUAAUCUCUUAAAGCCAUUCUCAGUUCGGACUGUAGGCUGCAACUCGCCUACACGAAGUCGGAAUCGCUAGUAAUCGCGGAUCAGCACGCCGCGGUGAAUACGUUCCCGGGCCUUGUACACACCGCCCGUCACACCAUGAGAGUUUGUAACACCCGAAGCCGGUGGCGUAACCCUUUUAGGGAGCGAGCCGUCUAAGGUGGGACAAAUGAUUAGGGUGAA
Molecule: ribosomal RNA, 1495 nt
Filed under: uncultured organism
Description: SSU rRNA
Rfam family: Bacterial small subunit ribosomal RNA
Source: RNAcentral